AGCGUCUUGGCGAAGAGGAAACGCGCAGGGCUCAUAACCCUGAGACCGUAGGAUCGAAACCUACAGACGCAA
This is a transfer RNA of Allomyces macrogynus ATCC 38327, 72 nucleotides long. It matches the Rfam family "tRNA". Rfam says of the family: Transfer RNA (tRNA) molecules are approximately 80 nucleotides in length. Their secondary structure includes four short double-helical elements and three loops (D, anti-codon, and T loops). The record is from Rfam. Lineage: Eukaryota; Fungi; Blastocladiomycota; Blastocladiomycetes; Blastocladiales; Blastocladiaceae.